RNAcentral lists this ribosomal RNA (452 nucleotides) under Crypteffigies albilarvatus. RNAcentral's name for it is "eukaryotic LSU rRNA". The record is from RNAcentral. Lineage: Eukaryota; Metazoa; Arthropoda; Insecta; Hymenoptera; Ichneumonidae.
CCUGAGAAACCCGAAAGAUCGAAUGGGGAGAUUCAUCGUCAGCGAUUCCGGUACGUGUGCGGCUCGCGAUGUCCGAGACUUCGGUCUCGCGGCACGCGUCCGCAUGUUUUUUAUUGCUGGAAUCGUCGGCGUGCACUUCUUCCCUAGUAGGACGUCGCGACCCGUUGGGUGUCGGUCUACGGCACGGUAGGUAGCCUGUCACGUGUGCGCUUCACGGCGUUACACGGGGCAGACCUCCGUUCGCCCGACCGGCUGCUCGGCGGUACUCGCAAGGUAUCUGGCCGCAGACAUACGAACUGCGUCCGGCCCGUCGCAAGCGCGGCAAGUGUUUCCCGGCUGUCACGGAUCUAAUGCCGUCACCGGGCCUUGCCAGCUGUUGGUUGACGGUGUCCUAGGACUGGCUAACAAUUAUUAUGAUACCGGUCGGCGACGCUACUGCUUUGGNUACUUUC